This 293-nucleotide ribosomal RNA is filed under the name uncultured bacterium. Its description in RNAcentral is "partial 16S ribosomal RNA". It matches the Rfam family "Bacterial small subunit ribosomal RNA", at positions 28 to 334 of the family's 1533-position model. The record is from RNAcentral.
GAUGAACGCUGACGGCGUGCCUAACACAUGCAAGUCAAGGAGAACGUAGCCUUCGGGUUAUUAUUAAACUGGCGCACGGGUGAGUAACGCGUAGAUUAUCUACCCCUAUCACAGACAUAACAUAUGGAAACGUAUGCUAAUAUCUGAUGAGGCCUACGGGUCAAAGACUUCGGUUGGAUAGGGAUGAGUCUGCGUCUGAUUAGCUAGUUGGUGAGGUAAAAGCUUACCAAGGCUUCGAUCAGUAACGGGUCUGAGAGGAUGAUCCGUCACACUGGAACUGAGACACGGUCCAG